GUAGGGAAUAUUGGGCAAUGGAUGCAAGUCUGACCCAGCCAUCCCGCGUGCCGGAAGAAGGCCCUCAGGGUUGUAAACGGCUUUUGACGGUGAAGAAUCGACAGGAUGCGUCCUGUUUUGACGGUAGCCGUUGAAUAAGCACCGGCUAACUCCGUGCCAGCAGCCGCGGUAAUACGGAGGGUGCGAGCGUUGUCCGGAUUUAUUGGGUUUAAAGGGUGCGUAGGCUGGAAGGUCAGUCCGCGGUGAAAAGCUGUCGCUUAACGAUAGUCUUGCCGCAGAUACUUCCUUUCUUGGAUGAGGAUGAGGCCACUGGAACGGAUGGUGUAGCGGUGAAAUGCAUAGGUAUCAUCCAGAACACCGAUUGCGAAGGCAGGUGGCUGUACCUUAAUCGACGCUGAUGCACGAAAGCAUGGGGAGCAAACAGGAUUAGAAACCCUGGUAGUCC
RNAcentral lists this ribosomal RNA (445 nucleotides) under uncultured bacterium. RNAcentral's name for it is "partial 16S ribosomal RNA". It matches the Rfam family "Bacterial small subunit ribosomal RNA", at positions 354 to 796 of the family's 1533-position model. The record is from RNAcentral.